GAUGAACGCUGGCGGCGUGCUUAACACAUGCAAGUCGAACGGACAGGCGCUGCUCUUGUGCCGUUCUCGAUUGCAGCGCGGGUGUGUAACACGCGAGUAUAACGUACCUGUAAUAGGGAUAACUUCAGGAAAAUCCGGCUCAUAUCGGGUAGGAUCUCCUGAACCAUGGUGGGGGUUGGAAAGUUUCGGCGGUUGUGGCUGGUCUCGCGGGUUAUCCGCUUGUUGGGGGGGUAGUGGCUUACCAAGCCUUUGACGGGUAGCCGGCCUGAGAGGGCUACCGGCGACAUGGGGCCUAAGGGAGGGCCCAGACGCCAACGGGAGGCAGUAGGGGAGAACAUGGCGCAAUGGGGGGAAGCCAGAGGCGGCAACGCCGCGUGCGGGAUGACGGCCUUCGGGGGGUAAACCGCUGUCGCAGGUGACGAAGCGGGAGUGACGGUAAUUGGUAAAGAAGCACCGGCUAACUACGUG
RNAcentral lists this ribosomal RNA (468 nucleotides) under uncultured bacterium. RNAcentral's name for it is "partial 16S ribosomal RNA". It matches the Rfam family "Bacterial small subunit ribosomal RNA", at positions 28 to 507 of the family's 1533-position model. The record is from RNAcentral.